CUGUGUGCUUUCAGCCCAGUUUAGCACAAAAAACCCUGCUGGACGUUUAUACAAAGGCCUGUGGGUCUGCAUUUAGGCCAAUGUGUGGUAUUUUUGUUUUGAAGCAGGGAGUCCUGACUCGUCGCCUGAUUCUUCCCCCCGAGUGAUUCUUCCUGUGGUGGGUGUCUGCCUCAUGCUGAUUUUGCUGAUGCUGCUCUGCCUCUGGAGGAGCCACAAAGAUAAAGUGAACCCUGCUGUCUCGUACACUGACAUUACCGCCACACAGGAAGUGAAACCUCGUACAUUCAGAGAUAUGAACUCUGAGGCGUCCUUCUACUCAACACUCAGUCUGGCAAACAUGUGCCAGGAAACACCUAAAGACUCCAGAUUAAGUGUUUAAGCUUUUUAUUUAUUUAUUCUUUGUAUUAACGUGAAGAAAUGUUUGUGGAGAUUUCAAAGAAUUUUCUUCAGCAGCUAAAAUUUCUUGACAUUUCUUAAAAUUUGCACAAAUCUGUCAUUUUGUCACUUUCGGUCAGUUCAUAUCUCUUUGCAGUUGGGUUGUAUAUGAAAUGAUUGUUGUUAGUCUUUGUUGGAGGUGUGUUUACUUCAGUCAUGUUACAUUUUCAUUUUUUUUAUUGUUAAGAGUUUGUCUUUGUAGUGUCUUUGUCUUUCUUCGUCAUUUUUUCCAGCGGUUUUGUAGAUAUCACUCUUAUUUCUGUUUGUUACUUUGAAGCAACCACAAAGAGCUUGAGUAACUUUGAAGUUUUUUUGUAGUCCUAGUGGUUUUUUUGUUGGUUUGUUUUUUUGCUUUUUAAAAUUUUCUGUCGAACAUGUGAUGUAAUUUAGCAACAUUGUACCAACUUUUUUCGAUUUAAAGUUUUCUUUUUCUGAUUUUAUCUUUCUGUAGUCCGUUUCUCUUUAGAGUAGCUGUUCAUUGCUCUGCAGCUUAGGGCGUUUGCAUCUCUUCAUCGUCUUUUUUGUGUGUUCUUUAAUACACUGAACACAACUUCUGGCUCAGAAGUUUUGCUGUAAGAAAACUUUCAGUUACCCAAAAGCAAAAAUGUGAAUGCCUUGAUUUGGAAAUCAGUGCUUGUAAUAGGCCUUGUACUUUCUGUUGCUACAUUCACUGAUUUUGUCUUGUUAUGAUAGUAAUGUGAUCUUAACGAACAAUAAAACCACCAAA
Non-coding RNA from Maylandia zebra (zebra mbuna), 1162 nucleotides. The record is from RefSeq and is a predicted model, not a curated record. NCBI's taxonomy places the organism in Eukaryota, Metazoa, Chordata, Actinopteri, Cichliformes, Cichlidae.